UGGGGAAUAUUGCACAAUGGGCGCAAGCCUGAUGCAGCCAUGCCGCGUGUAUGAAGAAGGCCUUCGGGUUGUAAAGUACUUUCAGCGGGGAGGAAGGUGUUGUGGUUAAUAACCUCAGCAAUUGACGUUACCCGCAGAAGAAGCACCGGCUAACUCCGUGCCAGCAGCCGCGGUAAUACGGAGGGUGCAAGCGUUAAUCGGAAGUACUGGGCGUAAAGCGCACGCAGGCGGUCUGUCAAGUCGGAUGUGAAAUCCCCGGGCUCAACCUGGGAACUGCAUCCGAAACUGGCAGGCUUGAGUCUUGUAGAGGGGGGUAGAAUUCCAGGUGUAGCGGUGAAAUGCGUAGAGAUCUGGAGGAAUACCGGUGGCGAAGGCGGCCCCCUGGACAAAGACUGACGCUCAGGUGCGAAAGCGUGGGGAGCAAACA
This 427-nucleotide ribosomal RNA is filed under the name uncultured bacterium. RNAcentral's name for it is "partial 16S ribosomal RNA". It matches the Rfam family "Bacterial small subunit ribosomal RNA", at positions 355 to 774 of the family's 1533-position model. The record is from RNAcentral.